AACGAACGCUGGCGGCAUGCCUAACACAUGCAAGUCGAACGAGACCUUCGGGUCUAGUGGCGCACGGGUGCGUAACGCGUUGGAACCUUCCCUUAGGUUCGGAAUAACUCCCCGAAAGGGGUGCUAAUACCGGAUAAUGUCUUCGGACCAAAGAUUUAUCGCCUUUGGAUGGGCCCGCGUUGGAUUAGCUAGUUGGUAGGGUAAAAGCCUACCAAGGCGACGAUCCAUAGCUGGUCUGAGAGGAUGAUCAGCCACACUGGGACUGAGACACGGCCCAGACUACUACGGGAGGCAGCAGUGGGGAAUAUUGGACAAUGGGCGAAAGCCUGAUCAAGCAAUGCCGGGUGAGUGAUGAAGGCCUUAGGGUUGUAAAGCUCUUUUACCCGGGAUGAUAAUGACAGUACCGGGAGAAUAAGCUCCGGCUAACUCCGUG
Molecule: ribosomal RNA, 433 nt
Filed under: uncultured bacterium
Lineage: Bacteria
Description: partial 16S ribosomal RNA
Rfam family: Bacterial small subunit ribosomal RNA
Source: RNAcentral